GGUCUUGAGCUGCACUCCUGCUGCAGAGCACACAGUUUCUGUUGCAUUUAGUUACAACACUGUGUGAGCAUCCAAAACUGAUUUGAAGCCUUCUUUGUGACCUUACRAUCCUGAGCUGUCUUUAUGCCCCUGAGUUCUCCAACAUAAGUUUGAGGAGAAGGCCAUUCUCAAGGGAUUGUCACAGCAACUGARGACUGUGCCAGGUUCGAGUGACACUUCAGCAGUGCCCUGUUUCUCCUGGGAGCGAUACGGAAACCUCUCUGACAGCUUUACAGAGAUAUGGAACCCUCACCUCAGAUCAUAGAUGAGGCAGAUACGACUGGAAAGUCCCCGUUGUAGGAUUUUGAACACAAGCAUCACUGCUGGCAAGCUAGCCAGGCUCCACAAACUCCCUAAGGAGAAUCCCUUGUGUAAGGCUGAAAGAGUUUGGAUUUCUCACUGUGAAUAAUAAGGGAGGGGACUGAUUGAAAACUGUCAAUAAGGCUGAAGCUGAACCUUAGCAGAAAUACUCCAGAUGGAAAGCUGAUGUCAUCCCUAUGAAGA
This is a long non-coding RNA of Nothoprocta perdicaria, 543 nucleotides long. RefSeq lists it as uncharacterized. NCBI's taxonomy places the organism in Eukaryota, Metazoa, Chordata, Aves, Tinamiformes, Tinamidae. The transcript is spliced from 4 exons. The record is from RefSeq and is a predicted model, not a curated record.